ACUCUGAGUUUUCUUCUCCUUACAGAUACUGAAAUAAAGACCUAGAGGAUCAUUUGGUCAACUUCUCACAGAUAAGAGGAGGGGAGAUGGGAUGCAACCCAGGUUCAUUGGAUCCAAGUCCAUUUCAGCCAUCACCCUAAGCCCAGAAUCAUAAAGAAGGAAAUUCAUAAGAAGUGGUGAUCCCUCUGUUCUUUUGAUGGUGGAGACCAAGUCUACUUUGAAAUGGAGGAAGAGAAAUAGAGGACAUAAAGGAUUCUCCUACCACUCCUUCCGUUUUUGUGUGAGAUGCUGACAGAUAAGGACAGAACAUACUGUUCCCACCCUCCUCAUUUUAUUACACAAAAAUGCAGCCCACAUUGUAUUGAGCUUUGCACAUUGCUUUCUCUGCUUAACUGGACAGCCUGAACACCUCUGUACAUUGGUACAGAAAAGGCGCUCAUUUUGUUUGUUUUUUUUCACAGCUGCAAAGGAUUAAUUUUGUAAAUAUGCCAUGUUUUAUUUGGGUCCCAUCCAAACCCUG
Molecule: long non-coding RNA, 520 nt
Organism: Bos taurus (domestic cattle)
Lineage: Eukaryota; Metazoa; Chordata; Mammalia; Artiodactyla; Bovidae
Source: Ensembl